GCUGGCGGCGUGCUUACCAUGCAGUCGAACGAUGAUCCCAGCUUGCUGGGGGAUUAGUGGCGAACGGGUGAGUAACACGUGAGUAACCUGCCCUUAACUCUGGGAUAAGCCUGGGAAACUGGGUCUAAUACCGGAUAUGACUCCUCAUCGCAUGGUGGGGGGUGGAAAGCUUUUUGUGGUUUUGGAUGGACUCGCGGCCUAUCAGCUUGUUGGUGAGGUAAUGGCUCACCAAGGCGACGACGGGUAGCCGGCCUGAGAGGGUGACCGGCCACACUGGGACUGAGACACGGCCCAGACUCCUACGGGAGGCAGCAGUGGGGAAUAUUGCACAAUGGGCGAAAGCCUGAUGCAGCGACGCCGCGUGAGGGAUGACGGCCUUCGGGUUGUAAACCUCUUUCAGUAGGGAAGAAGCGAAAGUGACGGUACCUGCAGAAGAAGCGCCGGCUAACUACGUGCCAGCAGCCGCGGUAAUACGUAGGGCGCAAGCGUUAUCCGGAAUUAUUGGGCGUAAAGAGCUCGUAGGCGGUUUGUCGCGUCUGCCGUGAAAGUCCGGGGCUCAACUCCGGAUCUGCGGUGGGUACGGGCAGACUAGAGUGAUGUAGGGGAGACUGGAAUUCCUGGUGUAGCGGUGAAAUGCGCAGAUAUCAGGAGGAACACCGAUGGCGAAGGCAGGUCUCUGGGCAUUAACUGACGCUGAGGAGCGAAAGCAUGGGGAGCGAACAGGAUUAGAUACCCUGGUAGUCCAUGCCGUAAACGUUGGGCACUAGGUGUGGGGGACAUUCCACGUUUUCCGCGCCGUAGCUAACGCAUUAAGUGCCCCGCCUGGGGAGUACGGCCGCAAGGCUAAAACUCAAAGGAAUUGACGGGGGCCCGCACAAGCGGCGGAGCAUGCGGAUUAAUUCGAUGCAACGCGAAGAACCUUACCAAGGCUUGACUUGGGCCGGACCGGGCUGGAAACAGUCCUUCCCCUUUGGGGCCGGUCCCAGGGGGGGCAGGGUGUCCUCACCUCCGGCCCGGAAAUUUGGGUUAAUCCCCCACAGAGCGACCCUCG
This 1051-nucleotide ribosomal RNA is filed under the name Arthrobacter oryzae. RNAcentral describes it as "bacterial SSU rRNA". It matches the Rfam family "Bacterial small subunit ribosomal RNA", at positions 35 to 1107 of the family's 1533-position model. Lineage: Bacteria; Bacillati; Actinomycetota; Actinomycetes; Micrococcales; Micrococcaceae. The record is from RNAcentral.